This 831-nucleotide ribosomal RNA is filed under the name Triticum aestivum (bread wheat). Its description in RNAcentral is "partial small subunit ribosomal RNA". The record is from RNAcentral. Lineage: Eukaryota; Viridiplantae; Streptophyta; Magnoliopsida; Poales; Poaceae.
GCAGUGUCCUCGCUGAUGGUGCGCUUCCUCCACCUGCCCCGCGCCGCCCCCACCCUCACCUACCGCCCCCUCCUCCCGCUCCCUCCCCCGCGCCUGCGAGUGGCCGCGUCGGCCUCGGCACCCCUCGCCGCCAUGUCGACGGCGGCGCAGCAGGCGGUCGCCGACCAGAAGCGCGCGGUGCGGUCCGACGUGCGCAGGGCGCUCAAGGCCCUCUCCCCCGAUCAGCGCGCCAGCGAAGAUCUGGCUAUUCAAAACAAUAUUUUGAACUCUUCUUGGUUCAAAGCAAGCAAACGGUUGUGUGCCUAUAUAAGCUGUGCGCAAUUGCGAGAAGUUGAUACAUCAAAAAUAAUAGCAGAAGUUCUAUCCUCAGAUCCUGAACAUGAUGGACAAGCAAAGGAUAUCUAUGUUCCUCGAGUGGAAGAUAAAAACCGCAAUAUGCGGAUGUUCAAAAUCACGACCAUGGAUGAUUUAGUUAAAAAUUCAAUGAACAUUCUGGAACCGUCACCAUUGGAUGCUAGUGGGAAUGCUCGUGAAGAUGUGUUGUCAGCCUCAUCCCCUGUUGAUCUUUUUGUGUUGCCCGGACAAGCUUUUGACAGAACUGGCCGAAGACUAGGACGUGGUGGAGGGUACUAUGAUACUUUCUUGAUGAGAUACCAAGAACUUGCUAAAGAGAAAGGGUGGAGUCAGCCUCUUCUAGUUGCACUUUCGUACUCGGUGCAAAUUCUGGAGGAAGGCAUCAUCCCGGUUAACUCAACAGAUGUUCCUAUUGAUGCUCUGGUCACAUCCUCUGGCAUUAUUCCAAUCAGUCCUGCAGCACUGGAGAAGGUGUAA